RNAcentral lists this ribosomal RNA (999 nucleotides) under Triticum aestivum (bread wheat). Its description in RNAcentral is "partial small subunit ribosomal RNA". Lineage: Eukaryota; Viridiplantae; Streptophyta; Magnoliopsida; Poales; Poaceae. The record is from RNAcentral.
AUGUGGGAGUGCCCUGACUUCUUCCCUGUGGCGGUAGCCGGAGGCAGCCGUAACCACCAGAGUGGUGUGGACACCGUGGAGUUGCACGACCGUGUUGUGGCCAAGGAGGUCAAGUACGUGCUCAAGGUGAGUCUAGAACUGACACGAUACGAUUACUACACAAUUGGCACAUACGACCACGACAAGGAGAGGUACACCCCCGACCACGCCUUCCUGGACAAUGACUACGACCUCCGCUACGACUAUGGUGACUUCUACGCCUCCAAGUCCUUCUUCGACCCGACCAAGAAACGACGUGUUCUCUGGGGCUGGGCCAAUGAGUCUGACACCGUUACCAACGACCACCACAAGGGCUGGGCCGGCAUCCAGGCGAUACCAAGGAAGAUCUUCCUAUCGCGAAGCGGGAGACAGCUGAUCCAAUGGCCAGUGGAGGAGGUCAAGUCGCUGCGCUCAAAGCACGUAAAUGUCAGCAACAAGGCCGUCAAGGGCGGCGAGUACUUCGAGAUCACCGGCUUCAAAUCUGUGCAGUCAGACGUGGAGGCGGCGUUCGCCAUCAGGGACCUGGACAAAGCGGAGAAGUUCGACCUGGCGUGGCGGACCGACGCACAGGGGCUAUGCAAGAAGUUCAACUCGCACGUCAAGGGUUGCGUUGGGCCGUUUGGGCUCUGGCUGCUGGCCUCCAACGACCUCGAGGAGAGGACAGCCGUCUUCUUCAGGGUGUUCAAGACCAACGACACCAAUUACGUCAUCCUCAUGUGUAAUGACCCAACAAGGCCGACCUUCGCCGGCUUUGUCAACGUCGACAUAGCCAAGACCAAGAAGAUCGCCCUCAGAACAUUGAUUGACCAUUCUGUGGUGGAGAGCUUCGGGGCCGGCGGAAAGACGUGCAUCCUGACGAGGGUUUACCCGAGGAAAGCCAUCGGCGACGACGCGCACCUCUUCGUCUUCAACAACGGUGAGUCGGACAUCAAGGUCACCAACCUGCACGCGCGGAGAUGA